Molecule: long non-coding RNA, 1824 nt
Organism: Bos taurus (domestic cattle)
Lineage: Eukaryota; Metazoa; Chordata; Mammalia; Artiodactyla; Bovidae
Source: Ensembl
AAUGCCCCAAAUGAGGAACAGGUGCUUCAGGGUAACAUCAAGCACGGAUGUUACUUCUCAUUGGGAGCUGCAGCCUGCCCAGUGAAUAUCCAGGGAACCCGUUUGAUUUCAGGGCCAUGUUGCUGCCUCUGUUGACAGAGUUGGAACAGUGCUGGGAUCGGCAGAUACAGGAUCCCUGUAUCCUGUAUAAACCCAGGCUGCCCUGAGGAAGGUUUGAGGAGCACAAGAUCUAAAAAUAAAAAGAGAGAGACACAGGAGGAGGGAGUGCUAAGGGCAUGAGCCUUGGAGUUCACCCAGCCUCAGUUUGAGUCUUAGCUUCAGCCUUCAUUAGCUGUGAGACCUUGGACCACUACUUUCCCUCUCUGAGCUAGUCGCUUCAUCCAAAACACAAUAAUAUCAGGGUUGUUAUGAGGGCUCAAAGUAAUGUAAGCAGGUGGUGAGCACAGUGCCUGGCACCCAGUAGGGGCUCCAUAAUGGAAGCCGUUACAGUUACAUUGCGCCGGGUGGCUGAUGCCUUUCACAGAGCCCGUCCCCUCCUCCACACACACACACCAUGCCUGACAUGCCCAGGGUCCCUAGCAAAGUAACUGGCUUAUGAUUUAUACUUCUCUCCAUGCUGACCCCAUAUCCAAACCAGAUGGAGAUCGUAGUCAUGCCAACAACCAGCAUUUGCGUUUCCCUUCCUGGCUUAUAAAGCACACACAUCCACAUCCCACUUCUCCAUUCUCAGAGCUACCUUGUUGGGUAUUUGUGCAUCCAUACUAUUUUCAGAAGAGAAAGUGAAGGCUUAGAGAGGGUAAGUGAGGUGCCCAAAGUCACACAAUGUACAAAUGGCAGACCCAAGACUGAAGUUCAGUGUCCUUUCUGCCACUGCAAACUCCCUGUUGCUCAGCACCCUGCCAUGAAAGGAGAAAAACAUACCCAUCCCCUCUCCGAGACAACACUUCGCAUCUCUCCAGGGCUGUCUGCUAGGAAAUUAACCAAUUUACCUGUGACAAUGCAGAAGCAGCUGUCAAUAGCUUACCCUUCCCAAGACCUCGUACCUCCUGGGUGUUUGUGAAGUGAAGCAGCCACAAGUUUAUUCUCCCACGUUACUCGGCACUGGCCAUCUGCAGAUGAAACAGUGAAUCAUGGAGACAAGUAGAACCCAUGGAGGCCACCCUGUCCACCACCGCAUUAUAUCUGAGUGUGGACCCUGGAACUCCACUGUGAGCCCAUCUCUAAUAUGGCCAUAGACGUCUAAGAGGGAGCAGUAAAAAAGGAAAGAAAAUGGACUUGGGAGCAGGAAUUUCACAUCCCAGUCCUGGUUCUCCUGCUGGAUAAAUCACCUCACCAUUCUGGUCCUCAAACUCUUCAUGGAUCAAGAGAUGGUGGUUGACCAGAUGACUACAGAGAUCUUUCCGGCUCUAAGAUGUCAUGGAAUGCUUUGUGAAUUAGAAUUGGAGUAUGAGGUGUGUGUGCUUGGUCACUGGUGCCUACAUCUGCAUCACUGAUUUCCAGGAAGAUUAACACAAAAGGAGUUAAUGUUUUCUCUGAGUCAGAACACCCAAUACAUCCCACCUGCCAUAAGAACAUAUCUUCAACUCACCGUUGUUGCCCUCCCAAUAGCUGAAUUCUAAAUUAGAGGCUUUUAUAACUCAAGAAUGAAUCCGUAAAUAUGUCUCCUAGGUAACAUCUUGUUAGCUUCAUUGCUCAAAGCCCUUGAAAAUAAUAGAACUGCAUUUCUUUUUAAAAAUAGUAACUCAGACAUCUCAUUUAGGCCUCCCACCCAAUUAGUCUGAAUUAGUAAAAUGUGUUCAUUUCUUUCCCGAUGAGAACAUUGAA